AAAUAGGUAAGCUAAAAAAGCUAUUGGGUUCAUACCCCACUUAUAAAGGUUACCCCUUUCUUAUUUA
This 67-nucleotide transfer RNA is filed under the name Serrognathus castanicolor. RNAcentral describes it as "tRNA-Met". The record is from RNAcentral. Lineage: Eukaryota; Metazoa; Arthropoda; Insecta; Coleoptera; Lucanidae.